RNAcentral lists this ribosomal RNA (255 nucleotides) under uncultured bacterium. RNAcentral's name for it is "partial 16S ribosomal RNA". It matches the Rfam family "Bacterial small subunit ribosomal RNA", at positions 524 to 776 of the family's 1533-position model. The record is from RNAcentral.
GACGAAGGAUGCAAGCGUUAUCCGGAUUCAUUGGGUUUAAAGGGAGCGUAGGCGGAUUUGUAAGUCAGUGGAUGAAAUCGUCCGGGCUCAACCCGGAAACUGCCAUUGAUACUGUAGGUCUAGAGUACAGUUGCCGUUGGCGGAAUAUGACAUGUAGUGGUGAAAUACUUAGAUAUGUCAUAGAACACCGGUGGCGAAGGCGGCCCACUGGAUCGGUACUGACGCUGAGGUGCGAAAGCGUGGGGAGCAAACAGG